AAUCUAGAGUCACCCUCUUGGUAACCCAAGUACUCUAUCACAGAGCUAUUUUAGUCCGAAACUUUACCAUUCCAAUAAUAAAAUGUGUUGCAAAAGGCGGGGCCCGGGAGGGGCAUCAGAUGUACUGAGGUGUACUGAGAUAGAAAUGCCAGAAAACGUAUACAUAUGUGUACACAUGCACACAUACACGCAAGCACCUAUAUGCAGCGCUGCAACUCAAGUCAGUUGAUGCUGUCUUUCAUUAAAGCCAGGGAAGUCGAAAGCAUUCAAACGUUCUUGUCAGAGCCACUGGUAUCCUUUUAGGCUGCUGAGUAGGAGAACACGCUAGGAUAGAAUGAAACAUGUUCCUCACAGACUCGAAUUUUUCAACACUUAGUCUGAAGUUGGUGGAGGCUUGUGGAGGUUACAGAAUCUUCAGGAGGUACAGCCUUGCUGGAGGAAGUACGUCACUGGGGAGGAAGUACGUCACUGGGGGAGGAGGUACGUCACUGGCGGAGGAAGUUGCGUGUUUUUCCUGCUUACUUUUUCUCUGCUUUCUGUGUGUGGUGGAGGUGGUGGGGUCUCUCACCUUCCUCCUCUGGCCAGCUUUGGGUGCUAUGCCUGCCUCACCAUUAUGAACUCUUCCUUUAACUCAGAGCCAAAAUAAAUUCUUCCUUGCAGAA
Molecule: long non-coding RNA, 662 nt
Filed under: Rattus norvegicus (Norway rat)
Lineage: Eukaryota; Metazoa; Chordata; Mammalia; Rodentia; Muridae
Description: long non-coding RNA NONRATT010361
Source: RNAcentral